UACGAAGGGGGCUAGCGUUGCUCGGAAUCACUGGGCGUAAAGGGUGCGUAGGCGGGUCUUUAAGUCAGGGGUGAAAUCCUGGAGCUCAACUCCAGAACUGCCUUUGAUACUGAGGAUCUUGAGUCCGGGAGAGGUGAGUGGAACUGCGAGUGUAGAGGUGAAAUUCGUAGAUACUCGCAAGAACACCAGUGGCGAAGGCGGCUCACUGGCCCGGUACUGACGCUGAGGCACGAAAGCGUGGGGAGCAAACAGG
This 253-nucleotide ribosomal RNA is filed under the name uncultured bacterium. RNAcentral describes it as "partial 16S ribosomal RNA". It matches the Rfam family "Bacterial small subunit ribosomal RNA", at positions 524 to 776 of the family's 1533-position model. The record is from RNAcentral.